UACGUAGGGUGCAAGCGUUGUUCGGAGUUACUGGGCGUAAAGGGUGUGUAGGCGGUUGUUUAAGUUUGGUGUGAAAUCGCCCGGCUCAACUGGGCGGGGUCGGCGGAUACGGCGUGGCUGGAGCAAGCUAGGGGGCAAUGGAAUUCCCGGUGUAGUGGUGGAAUGCGUAGAUAUCGGGAGGAACACCAGUGGCGAAGGCGGUUGCCUGGAGCUUUGCUGACGCUGAGGCGCGAAAGCGUGGGGAGCGAUCCGG
Molecule: ribosomal RNA, 253 nt
Filed under: uncultured bacterium
Lineage: Bacteria
Description: partial 16S ribosomal RNA
Rfam family: Bacterial small subunit ribosomal RNA
Source: RNAcentral